GUGCUCACUUUGGCAGCACAUAUACUAAAAUUGGAAUGAUAGAGAUUAGCAUGGCCCCUGCACAAGGAUGACACAACUUUGUGAAGUAUUACAUAAUUUU
Small nuclear RNA from Myotis lucifugus (little brown bat), 100 nucleotides. Lineage: Eukaryota; Metazoa; Chordata; Mammalia; Chiroptera; Vespertilionidae. The record is from Ensembl.